Molecule: long non-coding RNA, 9925 nt
Filed under: Gallus gallus (chicken)
Lineage: Eukaryota; Metazoa; Chordata; Aves; Galliformes; Phasianidae
Source: RNAcentral
UGCGCGGCGGCGGAGGCGGGCAGAGCGGAGGCCGCCGUGGGGCCCGGGGUUCGCUUAUCCUCAGGGGCGGGCGACGCGGGGGGAGGCGGCCGGGCCGGUCCCUACCUGCUACCGGAACGCGCUGGCUCCUACCGGGGAGAGCCUCUUCCUUCCGCGGCAACCUGGAGGCCGAGUCGCCCAUCCUGAAGGUGGAGCUGCAGAGCCGGAGGAGGCGCCGCGGCGCCGUUAGCAUCGCCCUCUGAGGGCGGGGAAGGGAGGCGAAGGACUCUGCUCAUCUUUGCAGCAGUCCACUAUGUCAUGUUUAGUCAACACACUGCAUCAUGAUGAUUGGACAAUUUAUUUUUAUUGUCUUUUCCAAUCUGUAUGAUUCUACGCCAGUCUUGCAUGAUUUCUUGUUGGCUUUUUUAUGUGUAUAUAGAAUACGUGCUAAAUAACAAAUCUUCCAAUACCAGUGUCUAUGUGUAUGUUUGCAAUAAAAACACAGGAACAAGAAGUGAAUGGAGUAUCAAGACUUGCAGAAAAUACCCAUCAUCUUUCAGAGAGUAAUACACGUAAUGUGUAUUUUAUAUACAGCAACAAGCACUACAUUUCCUAAGGUGGAAGACACAGAAGCUGGAACACUGCUGUUUUGUUUUUCAGAGAACUGUUUGUGAAGUCGUGGGCAGGAGAAGGGAAGUUUGUUCCAAAACUGCUGACUGCAAAGAAAGUUUGAGAACUAGGCAGAUGCCUUGCACUGUGAAUUUCAGAAUAAGGGAAAAGAUAAUGCACAAAUGUGAAGCAAAGACAUUAUGGGAAGGAAAUGAGAGUAAUUCAAUGCAAAAUUCAUAUGGAGGGUUGUAAAGAAGUUGGAUGCUUGCCUGAAUAGAAAAGAAUAUGAUAAAAUGACAAUCUAGUCUGACAGAGGGAGGCCAGAUAGUUCUCUCAAAAAUGUAUUGUGCCAAAAGAACGAAGUGCCAUUCACCUCCCAGUCAAACAGGAUUUUACAGGAAUGUGAUGCUCUUGUGACACAGCGUUUAUUCAGCUUUAUAGAGAUGUUGGAUGUGGAUGCUUACAGUGUCGCUGAGAAUUCCUAGAUGCUCCCAAAAGAAUCUGAAGAAGCAGGAAAUCCAUGGUGUAAGAGCCAGGCUUCUCAUAAAAUUCACAUCUCAGAUGGGGACCUGAGAAAUGAGCUGUCCCAUGUCUGUCUUCAGAUUCACUGUUCUUCCCAGAAUAACAGAAUUGUAGGGGUUGGAAGGGAGUUCUGGAGAUCAUCUAGUCCAACCUAAGGCAGGUUGUCUCGAGUUCCUGUACAUGAAACAGCGUUCUCUUUGAAGCACAAGUAGUCCCGUGCUUGCAGUCCAUUUGGAGUUUUAUAUAUAUUUCUAUUGAGAAAUAGGACCAGAGAGGAGCUCAGGUGAUAUCUUAAAAAUCUGCAAUAACUUAAAGGAAAUCCAUUAGAGAAGUAAACAUAGAGAUGCAUAUGAUGGAUAACUGUGAUAUUUCAACAGCAUACACUUCAAAGAAUUGGAAAUGUUCAGUGAAAAACCGUGAAUUCCAUCUAAAACAUAUUCUCUUAUAUAGCAUCAACAAUACUGAUGAUUCCCAACUCUUAUAAGCCACUAAAAAUGAUGACAUCCACUGGACUGGUAGCAAAUAAUUCUCUUCCUCCUUGUUUGUCUCCAUUUUUUUCCAUUUCUCCUUGUAUUUCUAUACUCACUUCACUCUCUGCCAAGGACAUGCAUCUAAAAAAAAUUCAAUGAUUAAUGUUACGAUGGACAGCAGUGCAGUUUUUACUGUAAGAGUUAAUGUGUCUGUCGAUGAAACUGUGAAUGCCCAACCUGAAUCUUUUACUGUGAGCACUCCUGCUGCCUCGUUGUGAGUGGUUCCAUUUUCAUUGCCAUCUUCCUUGCAUGAAUCGAGGUCAAUCAGAGGUGAAAGACAGAAAAACAGACUUCUGUUUGGGCAAUUCAGUCUGCAGAUGAAGUGGCUGAGACCUUUCAGGGCCCUUAUGCGCUCUGAAAAGCCAGCAUCCCCUCUGCUCAGUGUUCCCAGUGGUCUUCUAUGCUGAAUAUGCUGCCCGAAUGUAUUUAGAUUAUGUCUCUUAAAUCAGAGGUGUUCUUUGUUACAGGGAAAAACUGCUUUGUCACCCAUUGCAUUCAGCUGCUUCAUUUGUGAAGCUGACAGCAGCAGAGCAGGGCGCUAAAGGAUUGACAUUGGGACUCCAAAACAGUGGUUAGAGCAGUGACAGAUAGCGGGGCUGCUGAAGCAUUUCGAUUACAGCUAUUAAGGGCAGGAAACAGUCUUUCAUUCUGUGUUUGUAUGGCACUUCACACACUGUGUUCCUGCUUCAGAGCUGGAUCCUAAGUAUUAAAUAGUAAUAAGCCGUGAUGCCACUUAACAAAUAAAAACUGCUGGUUCAGAGGAGUGUUUAGUGCUUCUUCACUCCGUGGAAACAGAAUACUUUUUUAAUUCAUUAAAUCUCCUUUGUAUUUCAGGAAAGUGUGAACUAUCCCCUCUUCCCAUUCUAGAGGCUGAGAAGGAAGAGCCUAAAAUUUACACCAUAGGUUUUUAAAGUUUUCAUACCAAGAAUUUGCCUGUCCAAGAAAGCAGCAGAACCCAAUUAUCUUUGUACUGAUAAUACAUUGUGCUUCAUGUUGAAACGUGGACUUCAUAUCUGCCAACACAUUGAAUUGAAUUAAGAAGUGUAUCAGAAAAAAAAUCACAUUAAAGUGCCUGCCUGUUGCUUGGAUUCCCAUGUAAUAAUACAGUAUUCCUAGUAUAACCAUUUUACAGUGCUGAAGACCUUCAGGAAAUCAGUGUGAAGAAAGAGAAAGGUGCAAAGGAGAAAACAGGAAGAAAAGGGAUGUGAACUUAUCUGUGUCCUUCCAGGCAGGGCUAUACACAGAUUCCCAAUCAUUCCAUUUUUUGGGAUCGUGAUCAAAAUGCAUUUGACAUUUACUGUAUAUAGUCCUUGCCUUUAGAGCAGAAUUUGCUCGCCUUUUUGGAUAAUUGUUUUUUCCACUGUAGCAAAAUUUGCUGUGUUUUGCAACCAGUAAAGCCCCUGUGACUACCAUCCCCCCACCCCCCCACGUGACUAUCUCAUGGUAAUAACACUGAUUGUAAAGCCAGGUUUCUGUUGCAGUGUGCAUCUUCUGGAAGAGCACUGUUUCGGUUUUUGUUUUUUGAUUUUCAAACAUGUAGCAAUAGAGGAUCCUUCGUGGGCUUUGGUGGAUUAUUCAGUGCUUAAUUGCUGUUAGAAACACGCACUUUAUUGUUAGUUCAGCUUCCUUUGAAUCAUAGCUUAUCUUUCCUUGCAUUUCUUGUUUUCUAAUUCUGCAAGUAUUGUCAUUGCCCUUCUUUGAACCCUCUCCAGGUUUUUAGUUGACGUAUUUCCUUACUUAAUUAUUUAUUUCAUUGCCCAGUCUGAUGAAGGUAUGAAUAAUUAGUGCAGCAUUCUGGUACUGGUCACAACAAAGCAAGUACAGAUCUAGUAUGGUUUCCUGGUUCCUGCUUGGUUUCGUGUUCAUAUGUCCAAGGCAGUCAGUAUUAGCCUUGCAGCCCUGGAGGUAUGCUACUGACAUUCCCAAGGGCUCUUCAGGAAUUUAUUACCAAUGUAUAGAAAUACAUACAUUAUGGCAGAUAUGCAGGAAACUAUGUUCUAUGUCUUUCCUUGGCCUCCUUUAAAUUAUUAGGAUAGUCUUGUACCAAUUUCUAAUCAUCUUUGUUACUACCACAUCCACAGUUUUUGGGUCAGCUGCUAGCAGUUGGAAAUUACUGUCUAUAUUCCUCUCUAUCAUUGUUAGGAAUGUCCAAUAAUGGAGCUCAGAACUGAUGCCUACAUGACAUCACUGUAAACAUGCCAACCCUGUGAAGAUUGCCUCGUUGCAGUCACAGUUUGUGACCAGUUAGGUAAUGAGAUCUCUGAAAAUGAACAUAUUUUCAUCAGGACAAACCUGCUGCUUCCCCACUUCUAGCAAAAAGACAUGAACUGGUGCUCGGGAGGUUUUUCAAUCAAGGGAAGUAGAGAUUUUAAGUACCACAAUUCUUUUAGGAAGCAACAAACCUGAAUUCCUGUAUCAGCAGCUGUAUCUGUUACCCAGAAGGACAGUGAAGAUCAUAAUACAGUAAAGCAAUCUACAUGAAACAGUUUCUAGAGAGAGGAGGGAAGAUUAAUCAGUCAUUCACGUGCUUUCCAUUUGUGAUCUAGAUGAGAAUUUGGAUACAGAUUCAGCUACAUAAAUUACACUAAAAAUGGAACUGACGUAGAAGAGCCAUCAGCACUGUACCUCAGAGUAGUGCAGUGAUUUGGGGUUUACAGAAGAAUAUAAAAAACAAGGGACAAUUUAAUGGAGUACCGUGCAUGCCAGGGAGAAGGCAAAAAUGCAGGAUACCAGCAGUGUGCUUACACAGGUUGUUCUUUGUUUUUCCAUUUCAACAUAGCAAUUAUGUAAAAAAAGCUAAUGAAACAGAUAUGCUAUCUGCCAGUUUUCCUUCCUAUCAGCCUGCAUAUGCCUUGGUUCUCUCUUUCAGUGAAGGUUCAGGAUGUAUCUUUAUAGCUGAUCCCAAUAUGUUCAAACAAGCCAGGGUGAUGCAGAUGAGCAUUUUUUGGAUCUGUCCAUCAAUGUUUCUACGUGAAUCAGGCUUAGAGCUCUCCCAGUAACCAGGAGUUAGCAGUUGGCCAGUUUACAGAUGUCUUCUUCAGUGGUGUGGCUUAUCUCAGCUCUAUAAAUCUGGGCUUAAAAGCAGUUACCAGCAGCUGAGGCUCAGCUCUGGGGUUUUUUAAUCACAAUUUCCAGCUGUGGUACAGAGUACUCUGUAGGUCAAUUCCGGUUUCUACUCUGAGAAGACCAAUUACUCAGUACGUUCAGUGGCCUGUGCUGCACAGAUCAGUUUAGAUUUCAAUAUGGAUUUCACCAGAAAGUGUCAUGAUACGGCCCUUCCCUUGGUAAAAUUAUAUUGUUGAUAGAUUUUUCAAUGAAUAUCCUCUGCAUCUUUCACUUAGGAAUUUCUGUGUUUCUGUCCCCUUCAAUGCUAGUUAUGCAGGAUGGUCUUCAUGGAUAGAAAUGAAGUGGUGCAUGUGAGAACAGAAGAAAAAACAGCUUUGGGUAGGACUGAUAUCACCCAACCUUAGCUCUGGCAUCUCAUCCAAACUGAGCUUCUGAGUAUCAUCCAUACCAAAGAAAGGAAGGUCAGUAUCUCCAGAAAAUAAUUCAUCCCUUCUUAAAAUAGCAGAGGAAAGCAGAGAGGCUGGACUCAAGUUUAUUUCAUCUAGUUCACAGCAGAAGUUGCCCUGUUGAAUAGCUUGGAACAGAUAUCUUUUGAUAACCAGAAUUAGCUAUGUUCUUUUCCUUUAAUUUACCUAGAAAAAACUGCAGACUUUUACAGCAGACUUCAGUUCUGUAAAAUUUUUUCUCUUUUUAUGCAUUGACUUUCCAUUCCAAAAAAAAUAACUGUUUUAACACACUAUGCUUCAUAUAUCCCAUCACAGUGACCGUCUUUCAUUCCUCACUCCACAUUUUCCUUGUUGAUCUCAUAGUUCUCCAGAACUUUCUUCCCUCCUAAUGCAUUUUCUUCCCGAACCCCAAAUUCAUAUUUGCUGACCUAGUUGUCUUUUUUAAGUUCUUCCAAGUCAUAGAAAAGCUUUAUGUCCACUCACGUAAAUCCAUACAAGUGGCUAAAGUGCAUUGAGGUCUUCUGUUUGUUUAAAGUAGUUGUUAGUGAAGAAGCCACACAGUGCUAACUUGUAACCUGUCCCUCUCCUUCAGAGUAACCUUGCACUAGGGCAGCUGCUCCGUUACAGCUACCAUCCGGUCUGCCUUGUGAACGCAGACAAAUGGUGUAUAACUGGAUUUCCUUUAUAAUCUUCCAUAACAAGGAAGACCCACUUAAAUUCUGCAGAUAACAUAGAAUAUCUCCGAAAUCUGUAAAAACAUCACUUCUCUAGCCAAUAAAGCAAGGGCAUUUUUUCCUGUCAGGAUGCCUUGUAGUAGAUUAGAUAGCAGAAAAUGUAUUACUGACGUGUGUUUUUGGCAGCCUUCUCUGCUUAUAUGCAUGGAAAAACACUUAAUCUAAAUACUGUGGCUCUGUGGUUGUUUUCAUCUGAAGUUAAAGCCACGCAAUUAAAAAAAUACUAAUAAUAAAGCUAAUGGAAUCGAUUAAGUUUUUUAGGUGGAAAAUGCAGCCAAUGGAAGGUUGGAGCUGAUGCAUCGGUAUCACGUUCACAAGAUGCGGUCCCUCGAUAAAGGCUCAGAGACCUCUGCAACAUCAACACGGGCUGAGGAUGUUCUCUAAAUGCUUUGCACUGUGUCUCGUAGAUUCCUUGGCUUUGUCAGCUGGUGCUAGUUUGUAUGCAGUGGCACUGAUGACUUUAUAAAAACAAAUGACAGAGUUGUUUACACGGCCUUGCUAAAGGAAAUAAUCACAUUUAAUAGUGCUGGUUUCCCAUACAGGCCUUUAAAAAGGGGCUCUCCUGCUAUAUGCUGUAAUAAGCUUUUUAUAAAUGCGUUCCUGUGGUGCUCAGUACAGCCUGCUGUGCUGAUACUAUAAAACCAAAGGGGAGCUUCAUAAGCUUUAAGUGCAAUCAUAUAUUACUGUGCAGCAGCAUUCCCUUUUAUUAAUAAAGUUUGUAAGAAAUACCCAGGCAAAGAUUAAAAAUACAUGUAUGACACUAUCCACGGUAAUAAAAGCUGAUGUUGUCUGGACUGCUUGUUUAUUUGCUAAUGCCGUAUGAGAUGUUUUAAGGAGCACGGUGAAUAUGAUUGAACAGAUGAGCUCUUCCCUCGGGCCCUUCCUCGCCUGCCCAGCACCUUCCCGGGGAUGCUGAUGCUUCCCAGAGCUGCUGGCUGCUUCCUGAGCCCUCUGCUGGGCUCCUGCCUCCACUGCAGCAGGUCAGGGACGUGAGCUGCUUUCUCAUUGACUUGCAUAGGCAAAGCAUGUGAAGAUUAAAGCGGUGCUUCAUUAAAGGUGAUGAGAAGUUUUCACUGUUUUGGCCACAGGUAUCUUAUUUUGCUCUACCAUUCAGGAAUAACAGUGAUUAUUGAAUUGCAACACGGAAAGCUCUUCUGGGAAUAGAUGCACAGCACAGCCUGUCAUUGCUCAGCAAACUGAGCUCAGGUGCUGAGAAGGAGAGAGGUCCUAUGUUUGAGAUUGGAGAAAUCAUAUUGCAAUGGUUUAAGACACACCUUAAAUGCAACCAAAAUAUCAGGACGUUUUCUGAGGCCAGCAGGACUCUUGAAAGAGAAAUCAAGUGCUACAUAAUGUUAUAUUUUGAGGGAAAGAAGUUAACAGCAUAUGUAAAGUAGAUCAGACCACCUACUAAACUACUAUAUACCAAGUACUGACUUUAGAUUCCAUUUGUUACUAUGCUAUGCAGCAUAUUGCUUUGCAGCACAUACAGGAAGGCCCAGGUCCAGAUCUCCAAACAUACUGAGGCAUUGAAAUUCUGUAGGUUCUCUACAUAUUUCAGUCCUAGGGCAAUCAGUGUGUCUUGGACACCUCUCCUGCCCCCAGGGGCUUAUAUUCCAAAUGAGACAGAGUAUCUCAAACCCAUAAUGAGCCCUGUGCAGGAGCUGAUUUUCAGAUGGAGUUUUACAUGGUGAUGGGAUAGAAUUACUAGACUAAUUUAGAAAUAGUAGUGUGAAGAGGAUUAAAGUACAGUUCAUUCACAGAAGAGUGUGUUUCGACAAUUGUGUGGCAUAAGGCAUCAGAAUGAGUGCAAAGCAUUGCAAGUGAGACAGAAGAGUAGUCUAUUAUGAGCCUAGACUAUGGAGAGGAGCAAAACAAGGUGAUAAAUGGAACUUAGAUAUCAGCAAAACUGAAUGUAACUCUGUAGGUGGUCAAUAGCAAUAUUUCUUAUGGAAAAAACUGGACAGUGCAUAAGAUAGGACCGAUGUACAUGGAUUAAACUGAGGUUAUGACUCCCAGCAGCAAUGUUCUCGGACGAUGAAGGGUCCUGCAGCUGGAGUCAUUAAAAAUGCAACAUUUGUCAUAUCGCUGUAAUUGCAGUCCCUUGGUAUCUUCUAUUCCGAGUGUGAGAGGUUAUAAAUAUUGUUGAUGGCUCAACAUUUGCUUUAGAUUUCUUUACAAGGCAUCUUUGCACCACUUAUUCAUGUUAUUUUUGUCAAUGCAACCCUUCAGCUACGUGGUGUAGAUUUACAAUGAAAUCUGCAAUUUGCUUUUGUUUCAGUUCAUGCAAGUUUGGACCCUUCUUUUUUAAAGUGGAUUUUAAAGAUCGCUUUCCCUUCCCACUAGAAGAUGCAAAACAAGAAGCUGAUGGUACGGUUUUAACCUGUCUUUGGGAGGGUGUGUUCCUUCAAGUAUUUUCCAGGAUAGCUGGAGGAAUGCAAAAAAACCCUCAUUUGGGGAUGAGCAGUUCUGGCACAAAUACCAAGAGACGACACUUCCAUCCUUAAAAUAAGCCCCCCGACAUAAGUGAUAAUUUAAUAUACAUCAUGCCAUCUGCUUUCAGAAAUGUGCAAGCUGCUCCUAGAGAAGUUAACGGGAAAUGCAUUUUUCCUAUUAUUUUCAACAUCCCAAGAUGUAACUUGAUGUCACAAAAGCAUGCAUCUAGUCAUCUUUCCCCAAAGUAAAGUAUAGCUUGCCACUGGAUAGAAUGAUAACUGGUGCAAAACCCACUGCUUCUCCCCCCUCUGCCCUUCACAACCUGCCAGAAUUAAAUACAGACGUUGCAGAGUGCUCUGCUGGUUAGAAAGGCAGAUGGGGAAGAGAGGAGCUUUCAGAACCGUGAGGCUCAGAGGCUCUGGCAGCAGCUUUUCUCUUUCUCUGCCAACAGCUUCCACCUUGAGCACUUUUACUUCACCUAUAGAAACAUGUCACCAGGCAAGAGACGUGCCAACACAUGGAAGCAGCAUUCAAGGCCAGAGGAAGGACUGAGCUCACAGUUUCCCCUAUAUGGCACCCCAAAGAAAAUGCUAGGCUAGGCCAAGCCGUGCAUAGGUGUAGCCUUAGCAGGCAAACCCAGUCUGCUGAGUGAUCUUUUCUGAAUAAGCCCACUAGAAAAUGAUGGAAGAAUUUUUCUGUUUUUUGGGGGUUUUUUUGUUGUUGUUUUUCCUAUAUGUUCUACAAGAUGUGAGGGCACCAUAGAAUCACAGUGUAGCUUGGGUUGGAAGGGGCUUAUAGAUCAUCUAGUUCCAAUCCCCUGCCACAAGAACGGUUGCCACCUGCAUGGCCAUGACCUACAGAGGUGCAAUGCAACGCUGGAGUGAUGAGUCGAUUUGUUAUGGAGGGAUCUUUGGAGGUCUCUGCUCAAAUCCUAUGCUCAAAAGAGGGCCAGAUUAGCCCAGGUUGCUCACAGCCUUUGCUCAUCUGGGCUUUGGAUAUCUCCAUGGAUGGCAAUUCCUUUGCCUGUUCAGUGUUUGAUUACUUUAUAGUGGGGAUUCUUUUUCCAUGUGUCUAACCAGAACCUCCCUUGCAGCUGCCUGUGUGCACUUGAACCUUGUCCUUCUCUCUGCACCUACAAAAAGGCUUUGGCUCAAUCUUCUGAACGUUUCCAUUCGGACAGUUGAAGGUGGCAACAAAAUCCACUCAGCCUUGUCUUCUUAAGAUUGAGCAAUCUCAAUUCCUUCAACCUUUCCUCAUACUUCAUGUAAUACAUUUCUUUAGGGAUACUGAGGGCACCGUGGACUCACUCCAGUUUGUCAACAUGAUUUUUGUGGUGGGGAGACCAAAAACUGGAUGCAUUUUGUGGGGAGACCAAAAACUGGAUACAAAUGUGAAACAAUGGGUUUUCUUUUAUUAUUUUUUCACUUCCUAACAGCUCCUAACAUUCUCUUCUCUGUCUGCCUCAGCUCUAAGAUCACAUCUCCGCUGACAGCACCUCACUCAGCACCAGCACUUGUCAGAGUUUCAGAGCUGCUUUUCCCUGUGUGCUUUAAUUUGCCAUGACAGCACUGAACCUCAGCUGCCAUUUUAUCACCCACCCUCUCGG